Molecule: ribosomal RNA, 484 nt
Filed under: uncultured bacterium
Lineage: Bacteria
Description: partial 16S ribosomal RNA
Rfam family: Bacterial small subunit ribosomal RNA
Source: RNAcentral
AUUGAACGCUGGCGGCAGGUCUAACACAUGCAAGUCGAGCGGAUGAAGGGAGCUUGCUCCUGGAUUCAGCGGCGGACGGGUGAGUAAUGCCUAGGAAUCUGCCUGGUAGUGGGGGAUAACGUCCGGAAACGGGCGCUAAUACCGCAUACGUCCUGAGGGAGAAAGUGGGGGAUCUUCGGACCUCACGCUAUCAGAUGAGCCUAGGUCGGAUUAGCUAGUUGGUGGGGUAAAAGCCUACCAAGGCGACGAUCCGUAACUGGUCUGAGAGGAUGAUCAGUCACACUGGAACUGAGACACGGUCCAGACUCCUACGGGAGGCAGCAGUGGGGAAUAUUGGACAAUGGGCGAAAGCCUGAUCCAGCCAUGCCGCGUGUGUGAAGAAGGUCUUCGGAUUGUAAAGCACUUUAAGUUGGGAGGAAGGGCAGUAAGUUAAUACCUUGCUGUUUUGACGUUACCAACAGAAUAAGCACCGGCUAACUUCGUG